RNAcentral lists this ribosomal RNA (484 nucleotides) under Pavlova sp. CCMP459. RNAcentral describes it as "partial Bacterial large subunit ribosomal RNA". It matches the Rfam family "Bacterial large subunit ribosomal RNA", at positions 2417 to 2913 of the family's 2925-position model. Lineage: Eukaryota; Haptophyta; Pavlovophyceae; Pavlovales; Pavlovaceae. The record is from RNAcentral.
GAUCCGGUGGUUCUGUAUGGAAGGGCCAUCGCUCAAAGGAUAAAAGGUACUCCGGGGAUAACAGGCUGAUCUUACCCAAGAGCUCAUAUCGACGGUAAGGUUUGGCACCUCGAUGUCGGUUCGUCACAUCCUGGGGCUGGAGAAGGUCCCAAGGGUUCGGCUGUUCGCCGAUUAAAGUGGCACGUGAACUGGGUUCAGAACGUCGCAAGACAGUUCGGUCCCUAUCUGUGGUGGGCGCUAGUAAAUUGAGAGGACAUGACUUUAGUACGAGAGGACCGAGUCGUAUGUACCGCUGGUGAAUCGGUUGUGGUGCCAACUGCAGUGCCGAGUAGCUACGUACAGCCAGGAUAAACGCUGAAAGCAUCUAAGCGUGAAACCUUCCUCAAGAUGAGUUUACUUUUAAGGGUCGUCAGAGACUAUGACGUUGAUAGGCUAUAGGUAUACAGAUGGUAACAUCAAAGCCGAGUAGUACUAAUUACCCGUA